UGGGGAAUCUUGCGCAAUGGACGAAAGUCUGACGCAGCCACGCCGCGUGAGUGAAGAAGGCCUUCGGGUUGUAAAGCUCUGUCGAGCGGGACGAAAACCAUUAGGGUUAACAGCCCUAGUGACUGACGGUACCGCUAAAGGAAGCACCGGCUAACUUCGUG
This 161-nucleotide ribosomal RNA is filed under the name uncultured bacterium. RNAcentral's name for it is "partial 16S ribosomal RNA". It matches the Rfam family "Bacterial small subunit ribosomal RNA", at positions 355 to 507 of the family's 1533-position model. The record is from RNAcentral.